RNAcentral lists this ribosomal RNA (460 nucleotides) under uncultured bacterium. RNAcentral's name for it is "partial 16S ribosomal RNA". It matches the Rfam family "Bacterial small subunit ribosomal RNA", at positions 338 to 795 of the family's 1533-position model. The record is from RNAcentral.
CCUACGGGAGGCAGCAGUGAGGAAUAUUGGUCAAUGGACGAGAGUCUGAACCAGCCAAGUAGCGUGAAGGAUGACUGCCCUAUGGGUUGUAAACUUCUUUUAUAUGGGAAUAAAAUGUUCCACGUUUGGGAUUUUGUAUGUACCCUAUGAAUAAGGAUCGGCUAACUCCGUGCCAGCAGCCGCGGUAAUCCGGAGGAUCCGAGCGUUAUCCGGAUUUAUUGGGUUUAAAGGGAGCGUAGGUGGAUUGUUAAGUCAGUUGUGAAAGUUUGCGACUCAACCGUAAAAUUGCAGUUGAAACUGGCAGUCUGGAGUACAGUAGAGGUGGGCGGAAUUCGUGGUGUAGCGGUGAAAUGCUUAGAUAUCACGAAGAACUCCGAUUGCGAAGGCAGCUCACUGGACUGCAACUGACACUGAGGCUCGAAAGUGUGGGUAUCAAACAGGAUUAGAUACCCGAGUAGUC